GGAUGGGACUAAGACCUGCUAGUCGAGCGUCUCCAAGCUAUGGAAGAGACGCGGCACACAGCUCAGUAACACGUGGCUAACCUGCCCUUGGGACAAGGACAACUCCGGGAAACUGGGGCUAAUCCCUGAUAGGUGAGAACUCCUGGAAUGGAUUCUCGCUCAAAGGACGUUUAGACCAUGCUUCUAAGCGUCGCCCAAGGAGGGGGCCGCGACCGAUCAGGUUGUUGGUGAGGUAACGGCUCACCAAGCCUUUAACCGGUACGGGCCGUGAGAGCGGAAGCCCGGAGAUGGGCACUGAGACAAGGGCCCAGGCCCUACGGGGCGCAGCAGUCGCGAAAACUCCGCAAUACACGAAAGUGUGACGGGGCCAUCCCUAGUGCCAUCCGCUGAGGAUGGCUUUUCCCCAGUGUAUAAAGCUGGGGGAAUAAGGAGAGGGCAAGCCUGGUGUCAGCCGCCGCGGUAAUACCAGCUCUCCGAGUGGUGGGGAUGAUUAUUGGGCCUAAAGCAUUCGUAGCCUGCUUGGUCAGUCCUCCCGUUAAUCCAACGAUUCANUCGUUGGGCUGCG
This 565-nucleotide ribosomal RNA is filed under the name uncultured archaeon. Its description in RNAcentral is "bacterial SSU rRNA". It matches the Rfam family "Archaeal small subunit ribosomal RNA", at positions 36 to 575 of the family's 1478-position model. The record is from RNAcentral.